RNAcentral lists this unclassified non-coding RNA (126 nucleotides) under fungal sp. RNAcentral's name for it is "partial internal transcribed spacer region". Lineage: Eukaryota; Fungi. The record is from RNAcentral.
CGGAAGCAGCAGACAAAUACAGCCGGGUACAGUUUGAAUAUACGCCUUUUGGCGAUCUGAAGAAACGCAGGCAGGGGAAUGAAGAAAUGCGGUUCCUGUAUGAUACCGAAGGACAGCUACGCACGA